AGCGAGGUAGAGCAGGGGUAGCUCGCUGCGUUCUCCCGACGCAGAGGUCGUGGGUUCAAAUCCCACCCUCGUUG
This 74-nucleotide transfer RNA is filed under the name Barnesiella sp. RNAcentral describes it as "tRNA-Glu". It matches the Rfam family "tRNA". From Rfam's summary of the family: Transfer RNA (tRNA) molecules are approximately 80 nucleotides in length. Their secondary structure includes four short double-helical elements and three loops (D, anti-codon, and T loops). The record is from RNAcentral. Lineage: Bacteria; Pseudomonadati; Bacteroidota; Bacteroidia; Bacteroidales; Barnesiellaceae.